UAUUCUGGUGUCCCAGGCGUAGAGGAACCACACCAAUCCAUCCCGAACUUGGUGGUUAAACUCUACUGCGGUGACGAUACUGCAGGGGAGGCCCUGCGGCAAAAUAGCUGACGCCAGGAUA
RNAcentral lists this ribosomal RNA (121 nucleotides) under Halocarpus bidwillii. The record is from RNAcentral. Lineage: Eukaryota; Viridiplantae; Streptophyta; Pinopsida; Araucariales; Podocarpaceae.